RNAcentral lists this long non-coding RNA (800 nucleotides) under Homo sapiens (human). Its description in RNAcentral is "non-protein coding lnc-ARHGAP27-2:1". The record is from RNAcentral. Lineage: Eukaryota; Metazoa; Chordata; Mammalia; Primates; Hominidae.
GUUAGGUGGAUGGAUAGGUAGGUAGGUGAAUGAGCAGGUGGCUAGGUGGAUGAGCAGGCGGCUAGGUGGAUGGGUAGGUAGGUAGGUGAAUGAGCAGGUGGUUAGGUGGAUGGUUAGGUGGAUGAGCAGAUGGUUAGGUGGAUGGGUAGGUAGGUAGGUGGAUGAGCAGAUGGUUAGGUGGAUGGGUAGGUAGGUAGGUGAAUGAGCAGGUGGUGGCUAGGUGGGUGGGUGGAUGGGUAGGUGGAUGGGUGGAUGGGCAGGUAGUUAGGUGGAUGAACAGGUGGCUAGGUGGAUGGUUAGGUGGAUGGAUAGGUAGGUAGGUGAAUGAGCAGGUGGCUAGGUGGAUGGGCAGGUAGGUAGGUGGCUGAGCAGGUGGCUAGGUGGAUGGGUAGGUAGGUAGGUGAAUGAGCAGGUGGCUAGGUGGAUGGGCAGGUAGGUAGGUGGAUGGGUAGGUAAGUAGGUGAAUGAGCAGGUGGCUAGGUGGAUGGGCAGGUAGGUAGGUGGAUGAGCAGGUGGCUAGGUGGAUGGUUAGGUGGAUGGGUAGGUAGGUAGGUGAAUGAGCAGGUGGCUAGGUGGAUGGGUUGGUGGAUGGAUGGAUGGGUAGGUGGUUGGGUAGAUUGGUGAAUGGGUGGAUAGGUAGGUAGAUGGGUGCCUAGAUAGGCAGAUGGGUGAAUGGGUAGAUGGGUAGGUAGAUGGGUAGAUGGGUGGACGGUGGGUAGAUGGCUGGGUGGAUGGGUGAAUAGGUAGGUGGAUGGGUAGAUGGGCUGGCCAGGGCUAUACCUUGGAGCAGUCAUCCUUGC